CAUAUCGAACUGGCCCCGAUGCGGAGGAUUUACGAACUUUGGCCGCUCAAAAAGUCACAUCCAUUUCAGACAUCCAGAAGGGACCCCAGAAGUGGCACCUGCCCCACCUGGGGACAUCUAGAAGAGUGGCUUCCGGCCGCCUGUGGCUGUUGAGAGUAAGCCACCCUGAGCCUGCACCAAGGACUAAGGACCCUGCGCCUGACUCCCGGGGUCUGCCUCAGUUCUGGAGGUGAAGACACUGUCCGUACAGAAGUUAGAACAAGUAUUGGGAGAUGAGAUAAAGCCACCCACUUGGGUCCCAAACUCUAUGGACACUGUGUGAGAUAGAGAUCGCCAUCCUGUUCCUGUUAUUGAUGAAAAGACCAUCAGGCAGAGCAGAUACAAUGUAACCAUCUGCCUCCACGCCCCAGUGGUGAUGGACUGGCUGUAUCCUCAUACUAAGAUGGCGCAUGCCAUCCCUGCGAGUCUCUGAAGAAAACUUCCCUUUGCUCAACCACAGAGAAAUGCACACUCCUCAUCUCUCAGCGUUUCAGUCAGUGCGACUGACCCACAGCCUAUGACGGCAGCUGCGGACACAGCCCUCUGCUCUGGUUCCUUCACCAAAAAUAAAAUAAGUGACUCCAAGUGCUUGGCCGGUAGCCAAGGACCUCUCAGGUUCAAUUCUUCAUCUUCUGCUUGCGAGAGUUAAUUACAGUGAGGGGGCAUGCUAAGCAAGAGCUCUUUGUGUUCACAGUGAAAUAAUGACUUAGUCACCCCUGAGACUACAGAGGCUCUGGACUUCAGCUCUGCACAGCAAGCACAAAUCCCAACCUGAUAGCAUGUGACUUUCUUUUUCAAAUGAAUCAGACUUUAUGAAUAGACAGCGUCUUUUCCUCCCCUCACCCUCUAGCCCGACCGUGCCGAUUAGCAUAUUUUCUGCUUUUCUAGUUGAGUUGACUCACCAGUCCCUUUAAGAGCCUGCUAGCUUGUGUGCUUCCUCCUGACAGGACACAGGGAUCCCUGUCCGCACACUUGCUGAUUGUAUAGCAUACCUUUGCCACUGUUGGUUUUGCUGUUGUUGUUGUUUUGAUUCAAUAAAGUUUUAUUUUCCCAAAUGCA
RNAcentral lists this long non-coding RNA (1098 nucleotides) under Mus caroli (Ryukyu mouse). Its description in RNAcentral is "lncRNA (MGP_CAROLIEiJ_G0003679.1)". The record is from RNAcentral. Lineage: Eukaryota; Metazoa; Chordata; Mammalia; Rodentia; Muridae.